RNAcentral lists this non-coding RNA (31 nucleotides) under Homo sapiens (human). Lineage: Eukaryota; Metazoa; Chordata; Mammalia; Primates; Hominidae. The record is from RNAcentral.
UGGUUCAAGUCCAUUGAGCUUUGUGAGCCAC